CUAUACAUGACUCUGCGCAUAUCAAUAAGCGGAGGAAAAGAAACUAACAAGGAUUCCCCUAGUAACGGCGAGUGAAGCGGGAAGAGCUCAAAUUUGAAAUCUUCAAGGUUUUACCUUGACGAAUUGUAGUUUAAAGAAGUGUUUUCGGUUAGAGGAGUGGUAAAAGUUCUUUGGAAUAGGACAUCAUAGAGGGUGAGAAUCCCGUAUUUGGAUCCAUUACUUCCCAGCUGUGUGAUACACUUUCAAAGAGUCGGAUUGUUUGGGAAUGCAGUCCAAAAUGGGUGGUAAAUUUCAUCUAAAGCUAAAUAUUGGCGAGAGACCGAUAGCGAACAAGUACCGUGAGGGAAAGAUGAAAAGAACUUUGAAAAGAGAGUUAAACAGUACGUGAAAUUGUCAAAAGGGAAGCGUUUGACACCAGUGUUGUUUUCUCGAAAAUCAAUUACGAAUGUUUUAUUUUUGAGAAGUUAUGACUUCAUCGGCUUGCUUCCUUUCUUUAUGAAACUUUCUUAAUGCACUUUUCGGUUAACAAGUCAACAUCAAUUUCUUUUGUUGUAAAAGGGUAUGAGGAAGGUGGCUUUCUUUUCGGAGAAAGUGUUUAUAGCCUUGUACCUCUAGCAAUCGGAGAGAUUGAGGUCUGCAGCGUAGAUCCUUCGGGGUUAGAUACAGUUUGUGCUAAGUUAUAGCUUUUCAUAGACAACUUGUUGACUAUGUUUAGUCUUGUAGCUUACUCGCUGAUGCUAUUUUACCUACGCUUAGGAUGUUGACGAUCAGCUGAGCGCG
RNAcentral lists this ribosomal RNA (780 nucleotides) under uncultured Neocallimastigales. Its description in RNAcentral is "partial large subunit ribosomal RNA". It matches the Rfam family "Eukaryotic large subunit ribosomal RNA", at positions 22 to 646 of the family's 3401-position model. Lineage: Eukaryota; Fungi; Neocallimastigomycota; Neocallimastigomycetes; Neocallimastigales. The record is from RNAcentral.